Molecule: ribosomal RNA, 1385 nt
Filed under: Klebsiella sp.
Lineage: Bacteria; Pseudomonadati; Pseudomonadota; Gammaproteobacteria; Enterobacterales; Enterobacteriaceae
Description: bacterial SSU rRNA
Rfam family: Bacterial small subunit ribosomal RNA
Source: RNAcentral
UGCAGUCGAGCGGUAGCACAGAGAGCUUGCUCUCGGGUGACGAGCGGCGGACGGGUGAGUAAUGUCUGGGAAACUGCCUGAUGGAGGGGGAUAACUACUGGAAACGGUAGCUAAUACCGCAUAACGUCGCAAGACCAAAGUGGGGGACCUUCGGGCCUCAUGCCAUCAGAUGUGCCCAGAUGGGAUUAGCUGGUAGGUGGGGUAACGGCUCACCUAGGCGACGAUCCCUAGCUGGUCUGAGAGGAUGACCAGCCACACUGGAACUGAGACACGGUCCAGACUCCUACGGGAGGCAGCAGUGGGGAAUAUUGCACAAUGGGCGCAAGCCUGAUGCAGCCAUGCCGCGUGUGUGAAGAAGGCCUUCGGGUUGUAAAGCACUUUCAGCGGGGAGGAAGGCGGUGAGGUUAAUAACCUCAUCGAUUGACGUUACCCGCAGAAGAAGCACCGGCUAACUCCGUGCCAGCAGCCGCGGUAAUACGGAGGGUGCAAGCGUUAAUCGGAAUUACUGGGCGUAAAGCGCACGCAGGCGGUCUGUCAAGUCGGAUGUGAAAUCCCCGGGCUCAACCUGGGAACUGCAUUCGAAACUGGCAGGCUAGAGUCUUGUAGAGGGGGGUAGAAUUCCAGGUGUAGCGGUGAAAUGCGUAGAGAUCUGGAGGAAUACCGGUGGCGAAGGCGGCCCCCUGGACAAAGACUGACGCUCAGGUGCGAAAGCGUGGGGAGCAAACAGGAUUAGAUACCCUGGUAGUCCACGCUGUAAACGAUGUCGAUUUGGAGGUUGUGCCCUUGAGGCGUGGCUUCCGGAGCUAACGCGUUAAAUCGACCGCCUGGGGAGUACGGCCGCAAGGUUAAAACUCAAAUGAAUUGACGGGGGCCCGCACAAGCGGUGGAGCAUGUGGUUUAAUUCGAUGCAACGCGAAGAACCUUACCUGGUCUUGACAUCCACAGAACUUUCCAGAGAUGGAUUGGUGCCUUCGGGAACUGUGAGACAGGUGCUGCAUGGCUGUCGUCAGCUCGUGUUGUGAAAUGUUGGGUUAAGUCCCGCAACGAGCGCAACCCUUAUCCUUUGUUGCCAGCGGUUAGGCCGGGAACUCAAAGGAGACUGCCAGUGAUAAACUGGAGGAAGGUGGGGAUGACGUCAAGUCAUCAUGGCCCUUACGACCAGGGCUACACACGUGCUACAAUGGCAUAUACAAAGAGAAGCGACCUCGCGAGAGCAAGCGGACCUCAUAAAGUAUGUCGUAGUCCGGAUUGGAGUCUGCAACUCGACUCCAUGAAGUCGGAAUCGCUAGUAAUCGUAGAUCAGAAUGCUACGGUGAAUACGUUCCCGGGCCUUGUACACACCGCCCGUCACACCAUGGGAGUGGGUUGCAAAAGAAGUAGGUAGC